CGGGGCGUAGCGCAGUUUGGUAGCGCACAUGGUUUGGGACCAUGGGGUCGGGGGUUCAAAUCCCUCCGCCCCGACCA
This 77-nucleotide transfer RNA is filed under the name Bacillota bacterium. RNAcentral describes it as "tRNA-Pro". It matches the Rfam family "tRNA". From Rfam's summary of the family: Transfer RNA (tRNA) molecules are approximately 80 nucleotides in length. Their secondary structure includes four short double-helical elements and three loops (D, anti-codon, and T loops). The record is from RNAcentral. RNAcentral also lists the same sequence under 2 other names. Lineage: Bacteria; Bacillati; Bacillota.